AUUAAGUUGGGGGUGAAAUCUCCGGGCUCAACCCGGAGCUCGUUCUCAAAACUGGUAGACUUGAGUAAGGUAGAGGCUGACGGAAUUCUGCAAGUAGGGGUAAAAUCCGUUGAUCUGCAGAGGAACACCAAAAGCGAAGGCAGUCAGCUGGGCCUUUACUGACGCUGAGGGACGAAAGCGUGGGUAGCGAACGGGAUUAGAUACCCCGGUAGUCCACGCCGUAAAUGAUGGAUACUGGACAUUGGUACUCGAUCGUAUCAGUGUCUCAAGCUAACGCAUUAAGUAUCCCGCCUGGGGAGUACGGUCGCAAGAUUAAAACUCAAAGGAAUAGACGGGGACCCACACAAGCGGUGGAGCAUGUGGUUUAAUUCGACAAUAAGCGAGGAACCUUACCAGGGCUUGACAUCCCGAGAAUUCUUUAGAAAUAGAGAAGUGCCUUUAUGGAACUCGGUGACAGGUGCUGCAUGGUUGUCGUCAGCUCGUGCCUUGAGGUGUUCGGUUAAGUCCGUAAACGAGCGCAACCCUAGUCCUAUGUUGUAUAUUUCAUAGGAGACUGCCUUGUCCAACGAGGAGGAAGGUUAGGAUGACGUCAAAUCAGCAUGGCCCUUAUGUCCUGGGCGACACACGUGCUACAAUGGUCGGUACAAUGGGUAGCCAACCCGCGAGGGGGAGCCAAUCCCAUCAAAGCCGGUCCAAGUUCGGAUUGGAGGCUGCAACUCGCCUCCAUGAAGU
Molecule: ribosomal RNA, 732 nt
Filed under: uncultured Microgenomates group bacterium
Lineage: Bacteria
Description: bacterial SSU rRNA
Rfam family: Bacterial small subunit ribosomal RNA
Source: RNAcentral